ACAGAGAGAGAGAGAGAGAGAGAGAGAGAGAGAGAGAGAGAGAGAGAGAGAGAGAGAGAGAGAGAGAGAGAGAGAGAGAUAAUAUGCGCCACAACAUCUGGUGUUCACGUUAAGAAAGGAUUAUGUUUUGACCUUGAGAGCAUCAUGAGCCGUGCAGGUCAGCGGAGGUCACGCUCGCCACUUAUUGUCUAAUCGGUUAUGACCUUCGUGUGGCGUCAGCGUUUCUUUGUCCUCUGCCACGACAUGAUGUUGUAACGCGUGGUGCGGAGUGUUCAGUGUUGAGAAUUGUGCCUCCCAGACCGGCGCGGCUCUGCUGCUCCAGUUUGUGUGUGUGUGUGUGUGUGUGUGUGUGUGUGUGUGUGUGUGUGUGUGUACUGGUGAGUGGGUGGGUGUGUUUUACAGAGGAUGUGCUCAUCAGGACAGCCCCCGCCAGCCCCUCCCGGCACACACUAUAUUUAGCUUUCCCAGCAACAGCGUGACCCUUCAGGCAACAGCAACAACAUCACCUCCUCGGAGAAACACUGCUGGCUCGGUGUCUAGCCGCCCGUCACCUGCUGCCGCCUCCGCUGCUUACCGUGUCCGUCAGCCGCUUGUCCGUGUCACCCGCCGUUGGCCUGUUUUCACCUCGUCAUGUCCUUGAUCCGUUGCCGCGUCGCGUCCGCGGCUGCCCUGCUCGUCUGUCGCCCCAGCACGCGUGAGCCCCGCCCCGCCGCCCCGCCGCCCCGGCCCGCUGGUCGGCGCCGACCGGCACCGGCCGCCCCGCGCACCCUCCGCCGGUUUUGUUGUUUUUGUUUGAGCGGCGCGGGGCGGGGCGAGGGCCGUGCCGGGGCGCCGCCCCGCGGGGCCGCAGCGGCCUCACUGUGUCAGGAGCGUCGCUCAGGUUUUUCUUUCUUGUUGUCUUUGUUGCCCCGCGGCAUUUUGUUGUAAGUAUUAAUGCUGAACGUGUUACUACUUGAACUACUCCUUCAAAGGUACAAAUGAAGUAGCUCGACGUAUUUUUGUAGAAGGGCUUUGUAACAUAACGACUGACCACCGGAGGCCACGCACGCCUCCAGGCACGAACACGACCUUAUUGUCCAUUAAUGUUGAAGCGGCGCAUUGCCCGGUUUUGUUAAUGAGUUGGCGUCCAGUUGAGGGAAUACGAAGGACAAGUUUUGAGCGAGUGACCCCAAGACGCUUCUGCCCCGCCCCGCCCCGCCCCGCACGGCGCACUCCCCGGGAGCCAGGUCGGUGCCGCCCCCGGGCCACUUUUCCGCCGCCGCUGCCGCCAGGAAGGCCGUUGGUCAGCGCCACGAGGAACACUCUGGUCACGACUCUUCGGGCCCCACACGGAGGUCACUGUCCUCUCCGCGAGGCCUCACCAGCGGCGGCCUUCACCGGACCGUCCUGCACCGACCACCCACAGGGGCGCUGACGCGGGGCGGGGCGGGCGAGGCGCGGGCGAGGCGGGGCGAGAGGGAGGCGGGUGUGGCAGGGACGGAGACGCCCGCCGGGGACACAUCGACCUAAGCUGUACAGUACUUUAGGCUGCCCGUUCAUGUAUGGGGUCAUACAUAUUGGUUUAUGUAUGAUUUUGAUGUACCUGCUUUUAAAUAUAUGAAUAUAAAUAUAAAUAUAAAUAUAUUAUAUAUAUACAAAUGUUGCCGCUGAGCGACCUUUAAUACCUGUUCAUAUGGAUGUUGUUGGUCUCUUCUCAUUGUAAAGGGUGUACAGUGAACACAAGCAUAGCAUAUAUAAAGAUUCUAUUACGUUCCGCAGCCACUCUCACUGCUGCUGGGUGAGUGUCGCCCCGGCCGCCACCCAGGCCCUGCGUGCCAUACCCGGAGCGCACCCAGUCCACCCUCCCAGUAAUAAACUUAUUGACAACUUCA
This 1871-nucleotide long non-coding RNA is filed under the name Portunus trituberculatus (swimming crab). RNAcentral's name for it is "uncharacterized LOC123499363". Lineage: Eukaryota; Metazoa; Arthropoda; Malacostraca; Decapoda; Portunidae. The record is from RNAcentral.